CCAGACUCCUACGGGAGGCAGCAGUGGGGAAUAUUGCACAAUGGGCGCAAGCCUGAUGCAGCCAUGCCGCGUGUGUGAAGAAGGCCUUCGGGUUGUAAAGCACUUUCAGCGGGGAGGAAGGCAAUAAGGUUAAUAACCUUGUUGAUUGACAUUACCCGCAGAAGAAGCACCGGCUAACUCCGUGCCAGCAGCCGCGGUAAUACGGAGGGUGCAAGCGUUAAUCGGAAUUACUGGGCGUAAAGCGCACGCAGGCGGUCUGUCAAGUCGGAUGUGAAAUCCCCGGGCUCAACCUGGGAACUGCAUUCGAAACUGGCAGGCUAGAGUCUUGUAGAGGGGGGUAGAAUUCCAGGUGUAGCGGUGAAAUGCGUAGAGAUCUGGAGGAAUACCGGUGGCGAAGGCGGCCCCCUGGACAAAGACUGACGCUCAGGUGCGAAAGCGUGGGAAGCAAACAGGAUUAGAUACCCCCGUAA
RNAcentral lists this ribosomal RNA (470 nucleotides) under uncultured bacterium. RNAcentral's name for it is "bacterial SSU rRNA". It matches the Rfam family "Bacterial small subunit ribosomal RNA", at positions 331 to 793 of the family's 1533-position model. The record is from RNAcentral.